CUUGGAGGUUGUGCCCUUGAGGCGUGGCUUCCGGAGCUAACGCGUUAAGUAGACCGCCUGGGGAGUACGGCCGCAAGGUUAAAACUCAAAUGAAUUGACGGGGGCCCGCACAAGCGGUGGAGCAUGUGGUUUAAUUCGAUGCAACGCGAAGAACCUUACCUGGUCUUGACAUCCACGGAACUUUCCAGAGAUGGAUUGGUGCCUUCGGGAACCGUGAGACAGGUGCUGCAUGGCUGUCGUCAGCUCGUGUUGUGAAAUGUUGGGUUAAGUCCCGCAACGAGCGCAACCCUUAUCCUUUGUUGCCAGCGGUCCGGCCGGGAACUCAAAGGAGACUGCCAGUGAUAAACUGGAGGAAGGUGGGGAUGACGUCAAGUCAUCAUGGCCCUUAC
This 389-nucleotide ribosomal RNA is filed under the name Salmonella enterica subsp. enterica serovar Typhimurium var. 5- str. CFSAN004345. RNAcentral describes it as "bacterial SSU rRNA". It matches the Rfam family "Bacterial small subunit ribosomal RNA", at positions 816 to 1205 of the family's 1533-position model. Lineage: Bacteria; Pseudomonadati; Pseudomonadota; Gammaproteobacteria; Enterobacterales; Enterobacteriaceae. The record is from RNAcentral.